GGGCGGGUACCGAAGUGGUCAAACGGGGCUGACUGUAAAUCAGCUGGCUACCGCCUACAGAGGUUCGAAUCCUCUCCCGCCCA
This 83-nucleotide transfer RNA is filed under the name Candidatus Dormiibacterota bacterium. RNAcentral's name for it is "tRNA-Tyr". It matches the Rfam family "tRNA". From Rfam's summary of the family: Transfer RNA (tRNA) molecules are approximately 80 nucleotides in length. Their secondary structure includes four short double-helical elements and three loops (D, anti-codon, and T loops). Further hydrogen bonds mediate the characteristic L-shaped molecular structure. tRNAs have two regions of fundamental functional importance: the anti-codon, which is responsible for specific mRNA codon recognition, and the 3' end, to which the tRNAs corresponding amino acid is attached (by aminoacyl-tRNA synthetases). tRNAs cope with the degeneracy of the genetic code in two manners: having more than one tRNA (with a specific anti-codon) for a particular amino acid; and 'wobble' base-pairing, i.e. permitting non-standard base-pairing at the 3rd anti-codon position. Lineage: Bacteria; Bacillati; Candidatus Dormiibacterota. RNAcentral also lists the same sequence under 2 other names. The record is from RNAcentral.